GCAUAAUAAUUAGUCUUUUAAUUGGUGACUGGAAUGAAUGAAUUUAUAAAAUUAAUGCUUUAUUUAUUAUAUAAUUAAAAUUUAAUUUAUAAGUGAAGAAGCUUAUAUUAUAUUAUAAGACAAGAAGACCCUAAUGAUUUUUAUUUUUAAAUUUUAUUUUAUUUAAUUUUUAAAUAUAAUAUAAAUAUAUGAAAUUUUACUGGGGCGGUAUAUAAAUAUUUUAUAUAAAAACUUUUUUUAUUAUUAGAUAUAUAUCUUAUUAAUGAUCUUUAAUUAUGAUUUAAGAUAAAAAAUACCAUAGGGAUAACAGGCUAAUUAAUUUAGAUAGUUUAUAUUGAAAUUUUAGA
This 347-nucleotide ribosomal RNA is filed under the name Tomopteris sp. USNM IZ 1284290. Its description in RNAcentral is "partial large subunit ribosomal RNA". The record is from RNAcentral. Lineage: Eukaryota; Metazoa; Annelida; Polychaeta; Phyllodocida; Tomopteridae. RNAcentral also lists the same sequence under 1 other name.